Molecule: transfer RNA, 74 nt
Filed under: Erwinia phage pEa_SNUABM_37
Lineage: Duplodnaviria; Heunggongvirae; Uroviricota; Caudoviricetes
Also listed under: 1 other name
Description: tRNA-Asn
Rfam family: tRNA
About the family: Transfer RNA (tRNA) molecules are approximately 80 nucleotides in length. Their secondary structure includes four short double-helical elements and three loops (D, anti-codon, and T loops). Further hydrogen bonds mediate the characteristic L-shaped molecular structure. tRNAs have two regions of fundamental functional importance: the anti-codon, which is responsible for specific mRNA codon recognition, and the 3' end, to which the tRNAs corresponding amino acid is attached (by aminoacyl-tRNA synthetases). tRNAs cope with the degeneracy of the genetic code in two manners: having more than one tRNA (with a specific anti-codon) for a particular amino acid; and 'wobble' base-pairing, i.e. permitting non-standard base-pairing at the 3rd anti-codon position.
Source: RNAcentral
GCUCACGUAGUUCAGUCGGUAGAACGGCGGACUGUUAAUCCGUAUGUCGCAGGUUCGAAACCUGCCGUGAGCGC